AAAAACCGGAAGCGCGCGCACAGCGCGGCCCUCGUGGCACUUCCGCCGGCCGUUCUAUCCGGAGCCGCCUCUAUGGCCGCCGCGUUUUGCGAUGUUUAUUGUCGCGGGGACAGGGCCCGGGACCCGGAACAACAAAGAGCGAGAGCGACGGGGCGCGUAGCAACCGGGCCGCGCGCGGCGGAGCCGGGGACACUCAACCGCCGGCCCACGCGAAUGUGAUCUUCUUCAUGAUAUGCUGGUGGGGAAUCUGAGUUUUCAACCACCCCAAUGGAUGCAGACGGUGAUGUUGCAUUGGACAUUUUAAUCACAAAUGUAGUAUGUGUUUUUAGAACAAGAUGUCAUUUAAACUUGAGGAAGAUUGCAUUAGAGGGAGCAAAUGUAAUCUACAAGCGUGAUGUUGGGAAAGUAUUAAUGAAGCUUAGGAAACCUAGGAUUACGGCCACGAUUUGGUCCUCAGGAAAAGUUAUUUGCACAGGAGCCACAAGUGAAGAAGAAGCUAAAUUUGGUGCCAGACGAUUAGCUCGUACUUUGCAGAAACUAGGUUUUCAGGUAAUUUUCACAGAUUUUAAGGUUGUCAAUGUUUUAGCAGUAUGCAACAUGCCCUUUGAAAUCAGAUUGCCAGAAUUUACGAAGAAUAAUAGACCUCAUGCUAGUUAUGAACCAGAGCUUCAUCCUGCAGUGUGCUACAGAAUAAAACCUCUCAGAGCUACCUUACAGAUUUUUUCAACAGGAAGUAUCACAGUAACGGGUACUUUAUGAUGCCAAAAUAAAUAUUUAACUUACUUUUUUUCAUGGGAAUUCAGUUAGACUUUCAAAGCAACAGAGAGACAGGCAUGUGAGAUUUCAUUUGUACUUAAUGCUGCCAGAUAAUUUGUCUUUCAGUGAAAAUACUUGAAUAACUGUGGGAGAAUGCAACAAAAUACCUUUGUUUUAUACACGUGGACGUAGUCAGUUUCUGGGGAGAUGAGGCAUAUGAGGAAACUGAGCUAAAUACCAGAGACUGAGAAUAUUUGCUUGUUUAAUUACAAAUUGUAAAACUUUAACCUUCCUUCUCAUUUUUCUUCUGUUCAGUCCCAUAAACUACUGCUGUUUAAGCAAUAGUUACUAUCGCAGGCAUGCACCUUGAGACGAGAGAGGCACAGCCAGUAUAACAUGGCAACAUCAUCCUUUGACCAACAACUAGGAGGUGUUAGAGAUUGCCCUAUUUCAGGUUUUAGUUCUAGUCUGUCAAAUGCUUGGGUAAACUUCCUCUUGCCCCUUUUGGAUGGAAAAAUUACACACAACCUUGGCUGGAAACUUAAAAUGAAACAAACAAUUAAAACAGUUGUGGGGAAACCUCUUCCUAGAUACCAGACAUCUAAUGGAUUUCCUCAGUGAUUGGAACUUUUUUGUUGACUUUGGUCCUGAAAUAAAAUAAAUGUAUAUGUAUGUAUAUGUGUAUUUACAUAUAUCUUUUCUUGGAGGCUUUGUGCCACCUUUCCCACUCCCCUUUAUUCCUACUCAGCAUCCUCUGCCCCGUAUCUCAAGAAGGACUUUACCAUGUUUCCCAGAUAAGCACAAACAUCAGCUGAGAGCAAAUACACCACCUGCUAAAAUGGGGAAAAACAUGAAUAAAAAAGAUUCAAAAACUGUGGGAAAUUAAAAUAGAACUCCAACACACAUGAUCUGGAAUUAGCCCAUGCUAAAUUUCUGUUGAUUGGAAAUGACAGACAAGAUCAUGCUUAGGGACACUUGUAUUCGGGACGGGGGGAGGAUAUGGGAUCCUUACAAAUACCUAACAUUUUAUACAAUACAUUUUUUUAACUGCAAUAAUUAUAGCUAAAACCCACAAACAUCCAAAAUGGAAACCUACCAAAAAUGUAAAUGUUCCUGAAAGCUAAUUUGAACUAGUGGCAGCCAAAGAUAGAAGAAAAAUUACUUUUCAAAUAAAUGAGAAGCUUGAAUGUUCCCCAGAAAUGCAGCCAACUUAUUGAACUGUGAUUUAACUAUUUAUAUUUUGUAACUAAAAAUCUCUAUUAAAAUUCAGGAGAAAUACUUUUUUUUAAAAAAUGACGUGUGUGGGGAGAGUUACAGGCUUGAUGAAGAGAGAAAAAGAAAUGAGGAAGCUGAUGGCAGUGUCAUCAACUCCAGCUUUCCUUCCCCUAAAAUGCGUGUUAGGUUUCCUCAACUUCUGUGUCUCUCUCUCUCUCUCUCUCCCUGUGCUAACCUCCACAAUCCUCUGUCUUGCUGUGGAGGUUCCCCUCCAGGUCUUCAACCUUGGGAGAAUCACUACUAUCCUUGCAAGACCCAUGUACCUACUCAUGCUCUUUCUGCUUUCCACAGCCUGCUGGAUGUUACUGGGCGUUGCUCUCUAGAACUUAUCAUUUCUGUGGUAGCAGACAAAUUGGAGGGAGGUGCAGUGCAUUCAGUAGUGCCUGCCUGGAAAGCAGAGCAUGUUGACUGAUAGGCCUCGUAUAAUCCUCACAAGAUUUGAAAAUAUGAGAAGGAUCCUCUUCCUGGUCCAUUUUCUUAUUUUCAUAAAUGUACAAAAAAGCACUAAAAUUAUGUUUCCUGAAAUUUGCAUAUAAAUAGAAUAUACAAUGAUUUGUGAUCUCUUUAAAGAUCACUACAUUAGGAAGAAACUUCUGAAGUCCUCUUCUCCUUCCUGGUGGAAACCAUUAGUUCAUUAAGUCUGGUAUCCUGUCUCUGACAGUGGUCAAUAGCUGGUGCUUUACAAGAAGGCAGAAAGCCCUCCCCAAAUUCACACAACCAAACUGGCAGUGUUAUCCAUGAGGCAGAGAGGGACCACAGCAGUAAUCAGUGUAUGCCAUGAAACAUGUGACUUGGUUACCCUUGUCCUAGUUUUCAUUUAUACAAAUUUUGUAAAUGGUUUUUAAAUUAUGCAGGCCAUUAAAAAUCCAAUUGUGAUAUUUGAUACUGACUUUGAGAGGCAGUGAAUUAUAUAAAUUGUCUGAAAUAUUAUUGUACUUAUCUUUAUUUUGCCUAAAAAUACUGGCUUUUUUCAUUGGGUGACCCAGAAGGCUUUAUGGGUUGCAAAAUUUUGAAUAAAUUAAUGAAUUCCUUUCUAACUCUUUUCUCUUCUGGGGUACGUAAUCCUAGUUUUUCCAUCUACAUGAUCCAAAAUACCUUUAGGAAGGGAUAAAGGGCAGGCAUCAUCUUAACUGAGAAAGUCCACAGACACAGUCUCAGGUCACCAAAAGUUGGCAGUACUAUAAAUGGGGGCAUGCUAGCAUUUGAUACAAUUUUAGUUGUAUUUUCUGCAUUUUCUACACUUUUUAAAAACACUGCUGCAAAUUAGGCAGACCCUUUUUACUGAGCCUCCAAAGUAGUUUUCCUCAGAGGAAAUCACAAGUUCACACACUAUCAGUAUGGAUGAAAAGUUGACUAUUUUGGUCAAUACAUCACUAUACUCCAAGAUUAAUUUUGUCAUUCUGCUCAGUCAUUUCAACCUUCAUAAUUUGUUACACAGUGACUUAGUGCCACCAGCAGACACCACCGACUCACUCUCCAUUUCUGUCUCCAAAGCAAAAGUAAAUUAGUUUAGAUCAGUGGUUCUUAACCUUUACUGCAGCCUGCAUGCCUUUGGUUCUCAAAAUAUGUUCUCGCACCCCUUAUAAAAAAUCGUUGAAGUAGGUCAGUUCUUUAAACCUAGAUAUAUUUUUGUUUGUAUAUUACAAUAAUUGUUAAAAAAUGUAUAAUGUUAAUAAACACAUAGGUUUGAUGAAACAAAGUAGUUGUACUUAUGUGCCUGUGCUUAAUUUGUGUUUUCGAUGAUUUACCUUCUAAAAAAAUCUGGCAUGUCUCGCACCCCCAGGGGGUGCGUGCACCCGAAGUUAAGAACCACUGGUUUAGAUGAUAAUUUGAGGAUUCUUCACGUUUGAGGAGAUAACUGUUAGCCCAAAAUCUGGUUGUGUCCUGAGAUUGAUGGCAGAGGUAUUAAAUAAGCCAAACUACAAAGUUACAGACCCAUCAAGUUUUUGUUAUACUGAACUAUCGAAUAACUAUGAGACAGAAGUUAAAAUCCAUCACUUACAAAUAGUUUCCUUGGUUAGCUCAAUGAAAUGAGAAAUUGAAGUGGCCAUCCUUUGCUGUGGGUAUACAGGUUCUGAGGACAGUAGCAAAUCAGAAAGCAAAUGGUAUGCUUUCUAACCCCAUUCUUGCUGGGAUUCUUCUAUUCCAGUGUACUAGACAGUAUAUAAUUUCUUAUGAGAUAAAAGUGACAGAUGUAGAGUUAUUAUUUUCUAAUCUAGUCGACAACCAGUUCAAAUGUCAUUACGGGCACUAGAAGUUGCAUAUUAUUUUCUUCCUCUAAGUACUUAGUAGCUUUCUUGAAUAUGAAAAAAGUUGUGUCUACAGUAUAAAGUUGUGCUAGCUAAUAUACUCUGAAUGGUUUUUGAGGUACUGUUACAUUCUUGCUUUUUUAAUGCCCUGACUUUUUCUCCCUCUUCUCUCUAUUUUUUUUAAACGUCUCAGGGCCAAACGUAAAGGCUGUUGCCAGUGCUGUGGAACAGAUUUAUCCAUUCGUGUUUGAAAGCAGGAAAGAAAUUUUAUAAUUCACCACUUAAUGGUUAGGUUCCCUAACCAAGCACCUUUAAAGACUGCUGCACAUUGGACUAAAAGCAAAAAAUGGAAAACUGGACCAACAAUAGCUGAGGAAAUACAGACUCUUUUACUUGUUCAUGGCCACAGUGUAAACUCCAGUCCCUUUGGAUUUUAUUUUGAACAGUGCUGUAUUGUAAAAACGAAAGUUUACAAGAUAUGAAAUUGCUGCUUUUAAAAAGACGUUCUAUUUAUUUUUGCAGUAAUUUCUGUGUAUUCAUAAGCAAACCUGUCACGAUGUGCACUACCUUUCAAACAUUUUUUUAGUUUGAGCUUGUGUUUUAUUUUGUGAAUAGUCUUUUACAUUUUUGUAUGCUGAAUAUUGGGCACCAAAGAAGCUGUAAAAGUUAUCUUUUUCACUUGAUGAAUGUGCACAAAUAAAAAUUUGGAAAAUAUCUCUC
This is an RNA transcript of Dermochelys coriacea (leatherback sea turtle), 5000 nucleotides long. It is a transcript of the gene named TATA-box binding protein like 1, with no coding region annotated. NCBI's taxonomy places the organism in Eukaryota, Metazoa, Chordata, Testudines, Dermochelyidae. The transcript is spliced from 7 exons. The record is from RefSeq and is a predicted model, not a curated record.